RNAcentral lists this transfer RNA (74 nucleotides) under Patescibacteria group bacterium. Its description in RNAcentral is "tRNA-Val". It matches the Rfam family "tRNA". From Rfam's summary of the family: Transfer RNA (tRNA) molecules are approximately 80 nucleotides in length. Their secondary structure includes four short double-helical elements and three loops (D, anti-codon, and T loops). The record is from RNAcentral.
GCUCGAUUAGCUCAGUUGGUUAGAGCGCACGAUUCACAUUCGUGAGGUCUCAGGUUCGAGUCCUGAAUCGAGCA